RNAcentral lists this ribosomal RNA (253 nucleotides) under uncultured bacterium. RNAcentral describes it as "partial 16S ribosomal RNA". It matches the Rfam family "Bacterial small subunit ribosomal RNA", at positions 524 to 776 of the family's 1533-position model. The record is from RNAcentral.
UACGGGGGGGGCAAGCGUUGUUCGGAAUUACUGGGCGUAAAGGGCUCGUAGGCGGCCAACUAAGUCAGACGUGAAAUCCCUAGGCUCAACCUAGGAACUGCGUCUGAUACUGGAUGGCUUGAAUCCGGGAGAGGGAUGCAGAAUUCCAGGUGUAGCGGUGAAAUGCGUAGAUAUCAGGAGGAACACCGGUGGCGAAGGCGGAUCUCUGGGCCAUUACUGACGCUGAGGAGCGAAAGCGUGGGGAGCGAACAGG